Molecule: RNA transcript, 6005 nt
Organism: Pungitius pungitius (ninespine stickleback)
Lineage: Eukaryota; Metazoa; Chordata; Actinopteri; Perciformes; Gasterosteidae
Gene: znf408
Gene name: zinc finger protein 408
Exons: 11
Source: RefSeq, a predicted model, not a curated record
UCUUUUUUUAUUUGAGGUUUUCUGAAACAAAAAUAACAUCUCACAACCCUCCACAAUAACAAAGCUGGUCGGGUCAAAAGAGUCCCCAUCUUCUUCCUCGUUGGUUUGUGGCAGCAGCCGAUUGUUGGUUUGUUUGCGCUUCAUUUAACUUAAUGUAAAUUUCACUCAUUACUAGUUGUUUUUCCUUCUUUUUAAUAUGUGUGUUGUUAACAUGUAAUUAUUGUAGGUACUUAUAUAUAGUCAACAUCAAUACAUAAUAUAAAUAAAUACAUUCAUAUCAGUUAUUAUUAUGACCAUAAACUCAAACAACGUUAUUGCAUUUGUGGCUUUUAUUAAUCUCUGUGCUCGUGUUUGAGUGUAAGCGGAACCAAAGUCACUCAAUUCGGUUUCCGGUAGGACCACAACAAAAGGGGACUUCCGGCGUAGCCUUUUCUCGCUGGAUAACAAUGGCUUUCCCGGAGUUAAAACAAAAGUUAUCGAAGUGGUUUAAUGACAAACAAUCGAUUAAAAAACCCAGAGCGUCGGAAGUAUGUUAAAAGUGGCUAUGAUCGAUUCACUUGAAUUAUAAAACCGCGUCUCGCAACCCUUAAGCUAGUUAGCUUACCGAUGCUAACUUAACGCACCUUUAACAGUUGCUGAAAGCAUAUCAACACAGCAGUGUUACGUUAGCUUCGCCUCAUGGCCGCUCUCGCCCCCCCCAUCCCGUCCCCUCUGGCCUCCUUCCUCUGCGCGUUGCUCCCCCGGGGCUUUGCCCUGGGGCCAUCGAGGCUCUGCGGGGGCCGGGUGGGGCUGUGGUGGGUUGGCCGCCCGCUGGAGGCCGGAUUCCUGCUGGGGAAGGAGGGGGACACGGAGUGGGCCUCUGGGGGUCACCUGGACUCGAGGACACCCAGCCGGGACGGUGAACCCGGGGAUGCAGAGAAGGCCCUGAUGGAAGUGGCAACAAAUAAAGAAGCUUCGCUACAAAGAGCCGUCUGGAUCACAUUUGCCCGCCGGGCGCCGCACGACCAGUGGAAUGUGUCGCGGCAGUGCGGCUGCAGGGAGGCGUGCGUGGCCGAGUGCGAGGAGGCGUGUCUGCGCGUGUGUCGGGACAUCAGGCCGGGAACAGAGCUGCUGCUGAGCGGGGGCGACGCCGAAGGAGAGAGGCCGACGACCGACUCGCCCAAAGACGUGGAGACGGAGCACAACAGCGACUCAGAUGCCGGCAACCUUACCGCCAUUCGAGAGACAGAAGACAGAGGGGAGGAAGAGGCAGAAGAGGAGGAGGAAGGAAGACCAAAGUCCGUCAAGAGAAGUCCUCCAACCAACCACCUGAGGAACCGGAGGGCCAAGAGAACUGGACGCGGCGUCCCAGCGGCAGACGGACAGACGGGCGGAGCGCCUGGCGUCCCGUCUCCUGCGGACGGUCGGGAACCCGCAGCCGCUCCCGUCCGCUGCAGCUCGCGCCUCGCCUCCAAACCGCGGCGCGUUCACCAUCCGUCCGUGUCCCUCGCAGAGGGGGCGGAGCUCGAGAGGGCGACCGAGGCCGCGUGCGUUGCCAAGGAGACGGGUGUGUCGUGGGACCCGGAGAUCAGAGAGAGGCGGUACAGGUGCUCCACCUGCGGGAAGAAGUUCUACCAGAUGGGCCACCUGAAGAAGCACCAGUUCAGCCACACGGAGGAGAAACCCUUCAGCUGCCAGCAGUGUGGGAAGAACUACACCUCUGGCGAGAGCUUCAGAGCCCAUCAGAUGAGUCACCGUGGCGAGCGCCCCUUCCCGUGCCCCCACUGCGAGAAGGCCUACGGCCUGAAGCGGGACCUCAAGGAGCACCUGGUCCUGCACAGCGGGGAGAAACCCUACGUCUGCGAGCACUGCGGCAAGGCGUUCGCUCGCCGGCCCUCGCUGCGCAUCCACCGCCUCUCUCACUGCAGCAGGAGGGUCCACACCUUGUGUCGGAAGGUGCAGUGCACGGUCUGCACGAAGCUGCUGGCAAACUCGGGCUCUCUGAAGAACCACAUGAAGCUCCACACGGGAGAGAAACCGUACGUCUGUCAGCACUGUGGGAGGAGCUUCAGUCAAAAAGGGAACCUGGAGGCCCACGUGAGGACUCACAACGGGGAGAAGCCGUUUGCCUGCAGCGAGUGCGACCACAGCUUCUCCCAGAUGCCGGACCUGCGUCGGCACAUGUUCUCGCACACCGGCGGAGGCUUCCUCUGCAGCUACUGCGGGAAGUCGCUGAGUGACGUGCACACCCUGAGGUCCCACGAGAGGCUGCACACAGGAGAAAGACCCCACCGCUGCCCCGUGUGUGGGAAAGGCUACACGUUGGCCACCAAGCUGCGGAGACACGUUAAGUCGUCCCACCAGGUGGAAAAGCCGUACAGCUGCCACUGCGGCGCCUCGUACACCGUGAGACAAAGUCUGCAGAGGCACCAAGCCCAGCACCGGAAAGAGGGCGGAGCUCGGGGGGAGGCGAAGGCGGGGAAAGACGACGGAGAGGAGGCGGAGCCGGAGGAGGAGGCGGCGGCUUCCAGCUCCGGCCACCACAGGCCGAUCAGAGGCCGACCCAAGAGGACGCCGCUCCCUCCGGGCGAGGAGGGGCGAGUGAGGCGGGGCAGGGGGCGAGGGAAAGUGGAGGAGAAGGACGCGAGGAAGGAAACCGGGGCGGAGACGGGAGGAGACGAGGAGGCCCCGGGUGGCGUCCGCCACGUCGUCCUCGUCCACGCGGACGGCCUGGCCGCGGGGGGCCCGCCGCCCGCCUACGCGGGGCACCAGCUGGUGGAGGUGGUGAUAUCGCAGGACGCGGAGCAGUGCAUUGUGGUCCACGGGCAGCCGAGCGUCGGAGAGCUGCUGAUCCUGCAGGAGGACGGGGGGGGGCUCUGCUCUGUGGCGCAGACGGUGGAGAUAAACACGGGGUAGUUGAACUUUUGAAGCGUUUGUAGGAAAUUGUUCUUCUUCUUUUGAGCAGCUUCUCUCCCGGAGCAGAGUUCUACUGCGGCAAGAGGACGGGCCCGGCGCCUAAAGGACCCGGGCUUUUAUUGUGAAGGUCCUACAACAAGUUGAAUGCGCUGUAGGGAAGAAGAGCAAGGAAAUGAAAUGCGUGUCUCUGCCUCAUCCGAUCGCAGAGGGUCACGUGAGAAAGAGGAACCUGGGAGGCCGACCUCAUCUGCAUCUCUUCGCUCUUUGCACAGAGCAGAACUCAUUAAGAUGCCACGAGCCGCCGGGCGUAAGCGGAGGAGGUGAGAGACGUUGACUGAGAGGAGUCCUGCGCCUCACUUACGUGACGUUACAAGCAUGUCCCAGUAAACACCCCUCCACCCCCCCCCCACCCCCUCCCCCACUCCUCGUGACACAACAGACGCUUCUGUUGUGACGUGGACGAGUUCUGCAAAAUAAAAUGAAAAUAAAACCCGAGUGCAGCUGCUUCUUUACCCGAGCAGUGUGUUGAGUUUCUCGUGCGCACAGCCAACACCCCCCACCCCCCCCAAGUGUUUUCCCAAAAGCAAUCGAACACCUUGAAAUGAACAAGAGCUGAAGUUUCAUUUGCUCUCUUAUUUUAUCCGUGACGUUUCUGGUGACGAGGAUGCGAUGAAGCCCGGGGUCAAAAACUACUGCAGAGACCAGAAGGCAAAUUAGGAGACAAUUUAUCAUUCACGCUGCAUACAGGUCAGUGCAGACUCUACAUACUAUAUAGACUCUGUGGCCGUAGUGCAGCGAUGGAUCUAAUCUGAGGCUCAGCAGGUGGCCUGUUGGGUGAAGCCACUUGCUAUGCUGAUUGAAGGGAAAUCUUUGAUAUAUUCAGUGCAUGACCUGUAUAUAAGUGGACAGAGAUUUGUUGGACUGCAGUUUUGGAACGUUCAGUUCAGCGUGCUCGAUUGUCUGUUUGAUUCCAAAUGGACCAUCAUUUACUAAAUGCUGUAUUGGAAAAUGCCUUAAACAUGAGACUGAGACCAUAAACUCAUGUUUAAAUAAAUCAAGAAAGAAGUAGUCAUUACCUCAUAGACGUCUAUGGGAGCAGAGGAGUCGCCCCCUGCUGGUCACUACACAGAAGUAGAGUCAUUUCCUCAUAGACGUCUAUGGGAGCAGAGGAGUCGCCCCCUGCUGGUCACUACACAGAAGUAGAGUCAUUUCCUCAUAGACGUCUAUGGGAGCAGAGGAGUCGCCCCCUGCUGGUCACUACACAGAAGUAGAGUCAUUUCCUCAUAGGAGGAGUUACGCAGCUGUUAUAGUUAUUCUUAGCAUUAAAGAAAAGUAGGAAAACAUUAGCACAACAGCUAGUUAUUAAUGUGCUACAAGUCACUCUGUUCAAUGUAUCCCAGUAUUAUUGAUAAAGGCCUCUCAAUGUGCCCUGAGGUUUAGUGGUACUUUGUUGUUAGAAGUAGUCGGUAGUACUAAAUACUCCUUGACUGUAAAUCAAAAUUAGAGGGACGGUUUCUUGGAUAGCUGUGGAUAUUGUUUAAAUAAAUAAAUUAUUCAAACGGCUCAAAGUUUACUUCUCGGCUUCGCAGAGACUUCUAAGCAGGCUGUUCCGUCCUCUGGGUCUGAGUAUGCAGAGAUAAAUUAGGGGGGGAUCAGUCUUUCUCUCUUCCCACAAAGACUCAUGGGCCCUUGAGCAAGGCCUUCUUCUCCUCCCGUGAAAGCUCUCCGAUGUAAAUCCUCACACACACUUUCUCCCAAAUCCUCCACAGCUCACGUUGAGCCGUCUUUUAAAGCAACAAAAAAAUAUAUAUAUAUGUAACAACCCAGAAAGUGUUGAGGUUUGGUAUUCUAACCCCGGCAGAGACGCGGUGAGCCGGGUCCAGCUCAGCCUCCGGCGUCACCCACACACCAGCUAAAGUUAGCCGAGGUAGGACUCCUUGUCCAAACCAAAUCCUUUUAAGUAGACGGAUGAGAGGGUGUUGUUACCCAGCUUCUCCCCUUUUAGCCUCGCAGGAGACCGGGAGGGGGGGGGGACUGCUUCAUUAAUAUUGAUCACGUGGCCUCUACCUACUUACUGCUGCCUGUGCAUGAAGGCAAUUGUUUGCUCUACGGUUGUAAACCACAGCAGCUGGAAUCCGCCUUGAAAACAACAACAUAGUACUUGUCAAAAACACAUGGGGGAGCCAGACCGUUGCCCGGGGCAACGUAUCCGCUCAAGUGUUCAUAAAUGUUACCUUUUUUGAGGGAUUAGUGGAGUUUUGGUGCGAGCGCCUGCAGCACAGAACCAAGACUAACUGGUGCAUGUUGGUAGCGGGUUUAAGAAAAGAUCAUACUGAAAAACCUCUGGGUCUCUUCUUGGGGUCGAAUCCCGUCCCACAACAUCUAAUGCAAACACACGGACUUCCUGCUAAACCAGGAUCAGGGGGGGGGGGGGCUCCUCAGGUCCCAUAGAAGUCUACGAGAAAAUAACUUCUCUCUUGAUUUAUUCCCUCGGUAAACAUUGUAAACACGAGUUUAUGGUCUCAGUCUGUGGUUUCAAGUUCAGGAAAUGGUGGUCCGUUUAGAGUCCGGAGGGGGGGGCUUACUGUGAUUGACAGGUCUCCACCAAAGCCGCGUGGACCCACGUACACAUGGUGCCGUUGACUGUGCCUGCGAGAUGACGUCCCCAGGCCGGAUUCUUCAUGUUGUGUGUGAUUCUAAGAGGAGUCCGUCCUCCGGAGCUGUUAACGGAGUGGAGAGUCGGUGAACAUCAUCAGCAGCAGUGUCACUCGGCGCAGCAACGACACGCAUGAAAGUGAGGACGUCUUGUUUCUUUUCUUUUUCUUUUCUGUUCUUUUCCUCCUCUGCUUCCCAUUUGGUCGUUUUCUUUUCGGUCUGUUUCUUCUCUACUUUUCCAUCCUUUCUUUCUGCCACAUCGACGUCUGUCGGCGUGCAGCACUAUGAGGGCACCGUGCAUUUCCAAUCGGGUUUCUGUCCUCGCUCCAACUUGCGCAUGUGAAUGCUUUUCUUUUCCCUCCCUCCUUUAUUUCCCUGCAUGUCGUUGGGAAUAAGUAGGCCAGUCUUAUUCCUUUAGUAUGUCAGCAUCUUGGCUCAGACGUGCUCUUAAAUUU